Xenia sp. Carnegie-2017 is the source of this 187-nucleotide long non-coding RNA. RefSeq lists it as uncharacterized. Lineage: Eukaryota; Metazoa; Cnidaria; Anthozoa; Malacalcyonacea; Xeniidae. The transcript is spliced from 2 exons. The record is from RefSeq and is a predicted model, not a curated record.
AGUGUUACUUGGCUAUGUGGACAAUAUGGAGUUGCUGGCUCAAACAAGAAGAUCACGUUCUUAAAUGUUGUUUCUUGGCUACAUGGACCUUAUGAAGCUACUGGUUCACACAUGACACACAAGAAGAGCACUGUUGCUUAAUGUGUAUGUUACUGAAAUCUUUUUUUAAAUACAUACACAUAUGACA